AGCGAACGCUGGCGGCGUGCUUAACACAUGCAAGUCGAGUGCGCAGUUUUCUGUAGCGAUACAGGGAAUGGGCGCACGGCGCACGGGUGAGUAACACGUGGGCAACCUGCCCUACAAUGGGGGAUAACCCGCCGAAAGGCGGGCUAAUACCGCAUGACAUCACGAUGGCUUCGGCUGUUGUGAUCAAAGGCCGCAAGGCCGUUGGAGGAGGGGCCCGCGCCCGAUUAGCUAGUUGGUGAGGUAACGGCUCACCAAGGCAUUGAUCGGUAGCCGGUCUGAGAGGAUGGCCGGCCACACUGGAACUGAGACACGGUCCAGACUCCUACGGGAGGCAGCAGUGGGGAAUCUUGCGCAAUGGGCGAAAGCCUGACGCAGCGACGCCGCGUGGGGGAUGAAGCUUUUCGGAGUGUAAACCCCUUUCGACCCGGAAGAAUGUCCCGCAAGGGAUUGACGGUACGGGUAUAAGAAGCCCCGGCUAACUACGUGC
This 487-nucleotide ribosomal RNA is filed under the name uncultured bacterium. RNAcentral's name for it is "bacterial SSU rRNA". It matches the Rfam family "Bacterial small subunit ribosomal RNA", at positions 28 to 508 of the family's 1533-position model. The record is from RNAcentral.